CUACGGGAGGCAGCAGUGAGGAAUAUUGCACAAUGGGGGAAACCCUGAUGCAGCAACGCCGCGUGGAGGAUGACGCAUUUCGGUGUGUAAACUCCUUUUAUAUGUCAAGAAAAUGACGGUAGCAUAUGAAUAAGCACCGGCUAACUCCGUGCCAGCAGCCGCGGUAAUACGGAGGGUGCAAGCGUUACUCGGAAUCACUGGGCGUAAAGGACGCGUAGGCUGUUUGGCAAGUCAGAUGUGAAAUCCUAUGGCUCAACCAUAGAACUGCAUUUGAAACUGCCAGACUAGAGUAUGGGAGGGGGAGAUGGAAUUAGUGGUGUAGGGGUAAAAUCCGUAGAUAUCACUAGGAAUACCUAAAGCGAAGGCGAUCUCCUGGAACAUUACUGACGCUAAGGCGUGAAAGCGUGGGGAGCAAACAGGAUUAGAUACCCGAGUAGUC
This 439-nucleotide ribosomal RNA is filed under the name uncultured bacterium. RNAcentral's name for it is "partial 16S ribosomal RNA". It matches the Rfam family "Bacterial small subunit ribosomal RNA", at positions 339 to 795 of the family's 1533-position model. The record is from RNAcentral.